RNAcentral lists this long non-coding RNA (6768 nucleotides) under Sus scrofa (pig). RNAcentral's name for it is "lncRNA (ENSSSCG00000063336.1)". Lineage: Eukaryota; Metazoa; Chordata; Mammalia; Artiodactyla; Suidae. The record is from RNAcentral.
UUUUUAAGCCUUUUUUUUUUUAGGACUGCAAGUAACUGUUUAAUAUGGAAUCGUUUCAUUCCAUAUUAAUUUUGCUGUAGAAAAUGUUACCCAACAUAUUUUAUUUAAUAUUAAAUCUAUAAAUACUUAGAUGAAAUGAUCAAUUUAUUAGAAAAAUAAUAAAUGGAAAUUAAUUUUAUUCAAUAUAAUAAUUACUGUGAUAGAUAUAUUCUCAAAGGUCAGAAUCUGUGUGAUAUUUUUUCAUUAUUAACUAGCAAGUACAAUUUAAACUAUAGGCCAACUUAAUUUAUAGUUUUAUUUGAAAGGUGUGACACUCUUGGAUGUCCCAAGUCUAGUAAAUAUAAAUUAACCUUUUAACCACAAAAUCAUACACCCAUUCUCUUAAAAUUAAAAUAAUUUGUCUUGUCAGCUAUUGUUUUAUCCAAAUAAUUUACGUACUGUUUCAUCCACAGUUUAAUGAUGGAUCUGACACAUCAUGUCCAUUUAAAACUUUGAGAAUAGGUUUAAUAAAAGCGCUAUAAAGCUUUCUAAAGCAAUUGAUUUCAAAUAGAUUUCUGGUGAUCGUGUAGGUUCAGAAGCCCCUUACUUACACGCUAAUUAAAAUAUCUCAAGUUCCUUUCUGUUGCGUGGUUGUCCAAACAGCGUUGAGAUGGUUUAAUACUAUAUAUUAGGACAGAGUUGUAAUAUGAGGAUUCUUUGCUCCAGAAAACAGGUUUUUGUUAGUUGUGGCUGCCACAUUAAAAAUCAGCGUUGAUGUUAAAUUUUUGAGACAGUUUCACAUUUAGAGCCGCGAUUUGUGCAGAUAACAACUGAAUUUGACACGAGACAAUGACAGCAAGUACCAGUAUCAAGAUGUGGAUGGUAGAGAGGAUGGUGCAGUUUUUGGUGAUGUAUUUAAGAACAACGAAAUUACUUGGGGCUGUUUUAUUGGAAGAUCUAACUGCUAAUACCGAGGUAUACUGAAAAUAUCAGUUUUAGGAAUCUUUACAAGAGAUCUUCUUACAGGGUGCUCUUUCCCCAAUGGUGAGGGGAAGUUGACAAUAUCACUUUUGUAUAGUGUAUCUAUAUAGUACUCAAAAGUUCUUGCUUUUAUUUAGAUAGAAAGCCAUGCUCUGGCGUAGAACUGGGUAGAACUUGUAUAGAAUCAAUUUAAAAGGAAAUCAUAUUUGAUAAAAUGGGCCUAACAUCGGUAGAAAAUUGAGAAAAGCAUGAAAUCUGGACGUUCGCAGGUCAAAGGAAGAUCAUGGUCUGAAAAGACGGACUUGUGGAAAAUUAAGCCUAAGGGGAACAUGGAUUUAAAAAACCUUUUUAAUCCAUUUUUCUAUUGGGAAAGACAUAUGUUAUGUUUGAAUCCUUGCUUUAGAAAUCAAGUAACUUAGGGGAAUUUGUUUAAGACUGUAUUAGCAGCAGUUCUCAAUAUAACAUACAGACACUUGUGUUUAAGAUUCUGGUUUUUCUUAUUCACUGUGAUUUAGAGUUUAGGGAGAAGGACUACUUGUUAACUAACUACAGUAAAGUUAUAGAAAAUUGAGACACUUCUUCUUUUCUGGACUGGCUUUUGUAUCCAGAUAUAGCAUUCCCACUUGAUCACUGGUUUUCUUUUGAUGUAAUUAUUUUCCAGUUCCUUAUCCACAUAGAAUACAACAUUUCAUGAGUCUUAGGUCAUCCUAUUGCAAAUUCUUAGGAUAGUUAGUUGUCAUGAUAAUUUUCGAUUUCAAAUCCAGUCAUUUGGUGUAUGGUCCUGCUUCCAUAUUUUAUACAUGAGACCCUCCCAACACAGAGAAUCUAAAUAACUUCCCAGGACAUGCAGAUAGUACUUGGAACCCAUUUUCCAAGUCUGCUGGAUUUUUUUUUUUCUAACCACAUCCCACUAAAACUUCAAUAUUGAAGUUUUUCUUAUAAUUUUACUCUUCCUUGUAUGUGACAAUAAUUAUUAUUUUCACAUCAGUGAAUCAUCUGAUUUAACCUGUUUUCAAGCUCAAACAUUGUAUACACAGAUGUGAUUGCAAACAGAUUCUAAAGGCCUAUAGUAUGCUUAUACUUAGGUACUUCUCAAAAUUGAGGAAGAUUUUAUAGGGCAAAUUAAUAUUGACGUAGAAACAAACCAAAAUUGUAAUUAAAGGAACAGUUUGAUCUUUUGCUCAAGUUGAAGUUAUUUCAGUUAAACAAGGAAAAUUUUAAUCUCAAUCAAAUCAACUCAAUUUAAUAAGCUUCCAGAUGAAAAUAUUGGCUGAAAGACUGGAAUGACAAGUAUUUGUCAUGUAGUAUAUUCGAUGGAAAAUCAAAAAUAAGAUUAGCAAAGAACACUGACUCCAUGAUUUUCACACAUCAAGGAACAGAAAUCAAAUCACAUUUUUAAUAUACAAAUUAAAAUUGUAUUUACCCUCUUUUACUUCAGCUUUUAAAUAUUUAAAGCUGUCUUGAAUAAAGAAAGACAGAAGGACUCCUGGAUUAGAACAGAGUCAAAUAAAAUCCUCAGUUUUACUAAACCCAGGUCCACUGUUGUUGUGCUAUUAUGAAAACUGCAUUGAUGGUCAGCCACUGACACACCUGGGUUACCUGCCAUGCGAACCAUCUUGGAGCCUGAGAGGGUGAUUUCUCACCGUGCAGUCGCCCAACUUAUCAAUCAAGAAAGUAGUCUUGUAUUUAAAAGAUGGCUACUCCCACCUCAUUCACAGCAGUGAGCGUUCCCCUGAAAAACAGUGUAAGUCAUUAUUGUGGUUUUAAAAUUCACCAAGCUAGAAACAUACAUUUUGAGCAUUUUUCCCCCACUGAAAGAUUUUCCUUUUUUUACUAACCAUAAACAGUAACUUGAAAUGAUUAUGCCCAUUAUCUUCCUUAUUUUGUUUUUUCAAAAACAACAUAGAGAUACUACUCUUAGAAAGAUAAAGAGAUGAAAUGGGGAGGGAGGAGAAGGAGCAAGGGAAAGAGGAGGGGAGAUGAGAAGAGAGAGAGGAGGAGAUUUUCUCCUGAUCUAUUUUGGUGCUUAAUUCAAGGUCAUAAAUAGUGUGGCCAAAUUCCCUCUGAGAAGCCAUACCUAACAUAAGCAACAUUUUAUCCAAGGAAAGAUGUUUUAUGGAUUCGCACAAUUUGGUCAAGAACAGAAGGCUUUAAAAUUUGUAAAGGAUAGAUUUUAAUCCUCAAACCAGCUAAUUAAGCUUCUUCUGUACAACAUACAGUUUUAAGUUAACAGUAAUUAAUAUAGCCAGCUUGGAACCUCAGGAAGCUAAAGCCAGCAAGUGCUUUUUGGUUCACUCGAGAGGAUGCGAUUUGAUUGCUGGCGCCAGUAAACAGGUUGGGAAUUGUCAACAUUAUAAUUAGCAGCAAGUUUCUGGAUUCUCAGCCUGCCAGACUAGUGGGCUGAUGCUUGGAGCAGUUGCCCCAGGGGGGAGAGAGAAAAACAAAGGAAGGGAAUUUGAGCAACCUUGCAAUGCUCUGCCAGCAUAUGCCACUGGACCAAUGUUUUUCUUGGCAAAGGUCUAUUUUAAGACAUCUAGCAGUGGUUUCCAUAAAAUAUGAAACUCACCAUAGCAACUAAAAUGGCAAGUAGCUCUAGGAACCCUUCCUUGCUUGGCUAUCAGGUCCAACUGUAUUCAGAGCUAUAUUGCAUUUGGGCAGAAUGGACUCUGCAUAAUACUGCUACUAACAGCAUGAUUAAAGGGGUUAAAAUCUGUUUUGGCAGCAGUCCUGUAAUACUCUGCUGUAAAGCCGUCAAAGAAUAAGGUUAUGCAAACCUUAUUAACCCUUCGUGUAGUACAAACAGAAGGAAAUAGCGACCUUAAAACCACCAAGAAUUCAAUCCUCAGUACGUAAAUGAUAAUUUACAUGGAGUUUUCUUAGUUCAAAGCCAUGCGGUUGGUGUGGAAAAAGGUUGUCGUAGAUUUCAAUAUCCAAACAGUAUCUGUGGGGCCUCUAAGACUAAGGGCUACAUUAAUAUAGUUUAUGGGUUAUUUAUAACCCAAAUGACAAAGAUUAGGUUAGCUUUUAGAACCUACUAGAUAAAAAGUUCAUGUGUGUGUAUGUGUGUGUGUGUGUGUGUGUGAAAAAUUUUACAGAUCUUAUAGAAGAAUAGAUUUGAAACAAAUAACUGACAUAAGUGGCUAGAGGAUAAGUGCUAAAUCCACCUACCUUGUGGCCAAAGCAUAAUAACAAACACUUUUUCUUUAAAGCAGUUCUGCCGUAUAUUAAUUUUACCUCCCAGUUGAAAAAGGUCAAGGUUGCUGAGCAUUGCUAAAACACACAUAUUAAUUUCUCCCGAAUAAAUGCUUGGAAUCAUUAUCAAGGAUAUUCUUACUGUCAUUUUCUGUCUUUGCCAAAACAUGAGGAGGCUUCAAAAAGAUAAACAGGAUGUAGAGAGACAAACAAAAUAGCUUUCUAUACUGUAAGAAAAAAAAAAAAGUCUCAAAUGGAUCCAUGUGCUAUAUUAAGCAAUUGCCAAGUGGCAGUUUCUGCAGGUGGAUUAUCAAAAGUGCCCAAGAAAUGGCUGUGCAGCUCUGGCACCCAGGUGUCUGGUUGCGUUUAACGGACUCUUUUGUGGGGAGAAGGAUUACUCAUUUGUUGGAGAGAGAGCACUGUCCUUUAAUCUCCACGACAGAAUCCACGUUGGAGUAAACCAGCAACGCAGUUCUUAUCCACUCCCCUCCAGACUCGGAGGAAUUCUCUGCACUUAUUUAUAAUUUUCAGUGGAAUUAGAUGCCUACAGGUGGCCCCAUAAUGUGCCUCCAGGCAUACAACCUGCUGUAAAUUUUUAAGUUACAUUAACUUAGCAGUAUGUUGUCUUAUAACAACAGUUCAUUCAGUUUACGAGAGAAGGAGACGGAAGCAGAAAGGCAGUCUCUCGGGUUAAGCAUCAUUACCAUUCUUUGCUACCCUGUUCCUCUUUGAAGGUGGGAAAGGACCUUGGCCAGAAGUGGCGCUGCUGGCGUGUGGGCGCUGUGCCUCCUUAUAAAGUCAGAUGGGGUGUCACAGUUAGCAAGCCUCAGUCUGGCGUCUAGGGAUGGGUGUACUGGGUGUCAGUAUGAAAAACAGAGGCAAAGCAGUAAGACCUUUUCUUUCGUUUCUUCUUCUUCUUUUUUUUUUUUAUUUUAAGCCUAUAAAUGACUUCUCUAAAGUAUUUUGUUUCCAGUGGGUUUUCGUAUUCUGUUGGAAAAAAAUUAGUGCAUCUUUAUCAAGAUGUGACUGCAGUUUCUCCUCUACCGCACAUUCCGUAUGCUCUAAUUGUUUUUUCUGGGCUUUUAGGUUACCAAUCCGUGAGAAAAGGACAGGACUCCUUCAUAACUUUUCUGUCAUUGGGCUUCAGGCUCAUCCAGUCUUUGUGAUGAUGUAACUGUCAGUCACUGUAUGCAGUUAAAUCUCCCAGCAUGUGUUGGGGUACAAUUCUCAUAACUGAUGAAAAAACAAAGAUAGUAUCUGAGUUAAUAUACUUUAAAAGCAGAAAUUAGAUUCACAUUUCAGGGGCAAUACACAGAUCUGGUUAACCUUAGAAGUCCUAGUUCCAGGGUAUAAAGCUCUUUCUCACAACCUCAAACAGAACCAAAUCUGGCUUCCAUUCUAGUCUCAUUAAACGUGUAGCUUAGGAGUUCCUGCUGUGGCUCAGAGAGUUAAGAACAGGACUAGUAUCCAUGAGGAUGCAAGUUGAUCCCGACGUCGCUCAGUGGGUUAAGCAUCUGUCAUUGCGAGCUGUGGUGUAGACCAGCAGCUGCAGCUCUAAUUUGACCCCUAGCCUGGGAACUUCCGUAUGCCAUGGGUACAGCCCUAAAAAAACAGACGACAACUACCACCACCACAACAAAACAAAAAACCUGUAGCUUAUACCACAAGUAACAAUGAUAAUGUGUAUAUUUUUGAAUAUAUGUUUUACUUGUACAGAUUAUUAAAAAACAAGAAAACUUUAAAAAUGUAGCAACAGGUUUUUAUUGUCAGGCCUGUAGUAUAGACACGGGCAAAAUUAGUAAACUGAAGACCCAUUUGAUACUUAUCAAGUUAUCUGCCUUAAUGCAAGGAUAUUUAGAUCAUCUCAUAUUUCAUUUUACAACAUCUGAUGAGCAUGCGGUGAUCGAUUGAGCAGCUUGUAUAUUCAAAAGAGCUAGGACGCCUUUCAGAAUAAAUCGCUAAAUAUCUAUUAUGCGUGUACUAUACACAAGACAUAUAUUCAACUCCAUCAAUAUUUACUAAACACCUACUAUGUUCCUGGCAUUCUUCUAAAUAUUGGGGUGACCUUGUCCUUAAUUAUUCAUGCCCUCUAGGACAUCUCACAGUCCAGGCUUUUAUCAGCUCUGAGGGGGAUUCAAAAGAAUGUAAAGCACAUCUUCCUUUCAGGAAGUUUAUUAGGUUGUGGAUAAUAUGACAAAUAUAAAAUUGUGUGUAAAAGUGAAAGUUGCUACAAGCCAUGACGCUAUCUCUAGUCAACAGAAGACACACAUCACAGACAGAGUAAUAAUAAAAGUCUUUCCUAAAAAUGUACUUAUUAUUUUUUCCUUAGAUUUUAGAUAAUCUUUCAGACCUGAAGAGACCAAGGAAGCAUCUGAUUAGAAAAAAAUAUGAGUUCCCGUCAUGGCGCAGUGGUUAACAAAUCUGACUAGGAACCAUGAGGUUGCGGGUUCGAUCCCUGGCCUUGUUCAGUGGGUUGAGGAUCCGGCGUUGCCGUGAGCUGUGGUGUAGGUUGCAGAUGUGGCUCGGAUCCUGUGUUGCUGUGGCUGUGGUGUAGGCCAGCGGCUACAGCUCCGACUAGACCCUAGCCUGGGAACCUCCAUAUGCUGUGGGAGCAGC